UCAUCUCAUUCCUAAUUCAUCUUGAUCCCUUCAGUGGCUUAUUCUUGCAUUAGCAAUGUAAAACUGGCCCCAAUGGGUUUUAAAUGGUCAGAACUUGCUCUUGACCAGUUCAAAUCUUUUCUCACAAGGGAAAAUCAGUUCUGACCACUUCAAAUCUAUUUUGACCAGUUUAAACUAAUUCUGCCGAGCUGGAGCCUGAGGUCGGUAAACCCAGGAAGAUGGCUGAAGACGAUGCUGAUUUGAGCCACAGCAAGGAAUCAGAUUCAUUUCCUACUUCAUCCUGGACCUGUGGCCACCAGAAGCCCUGAGAUAUGGUAUGCAGCAUUAUAAACUGUGGUGACUAAAGGUGGGGGAUGGACGAUGGGGGGGAUCAUGUCAGAAAUAUAGGUGAUAGGUGGGGUCCAUUGUGGGUAUCACAAUCUGUCUUUCAACCAAAAACAUCUUGAAAUGAUUUUAUUGCAAGGCAAGCCUGGAUUACCUCACCUGGAUUUAUCACCCUCCCCGAAAACAGCAGGAUCAGGUACAGGAGCAACAGGAAGGGCAAUGAUGUAGACCUUCAUGAAUGUGGAGGUCCUGAUUCUGCCAUUAAUAAGUGAGGGGGAUGGGAGCCAGGUCAGGCAGUAGAGCCUGAGCUUGAAAAAUUAAAUUUCAAUAUAUUUUUGGCCAUAAUUGCCCCAUUAGGGAGCUAUGUCCUAUAUUCAGAUUUGUGGUCUUGGAAACAUGGCCUUUUUGAUAGGACCAUUUGACUAAUAGAUGCAAGUAUGUGAUGGUUACAGUGUACCCAUAUUGCAGCAAGGCGUGUUACAAAGAUUUUUAUUUUUAUGACAUCCUGGUGAACAAGAUGUAGCAAACAAGAGCUGGAACAUUGUUCCUUUAGUUGGAUUCUGAAAUAGUUUUUUUUUAAGUACUACUAUUUUUUGAGCACUUACUGUGUGCCAGACAUUGUGCUAAUAAGUACUUUGUAUGCAUUAAUCUUUUAAUCCUCACAAUAGCCUUAUGAGCUAUGUGUUAUUAGCUCUAUCAUACAGAUGAGGAAACCAUUUACAAAGGGUGCUAAUUAUUGAUUCUAUGUUCCUCUGGAUCCAGAAUUCUUAAGAAGUAUGUGUGUGUGGUGGGGGGGAGUAAGGUGGGGUGAGGGCACAUUCUCUGAGGGGUUUAUCAGAAUCGCCUGAAUGAGGGUUUUUCCAAACCAUAUAGGCCUUUCCCCCCAUUAAAGUACUCCCUUUUAGAAGGCCUGCCUCUCCUUGAGUAUCUCUGAUGUUUUAUGAGCUAAUGUGAUUGAUGUAAAUAGGUAGUAGGAAUGGCUCUCAGGUAUGUAGAAGGCAGGAAAAAGGUUGAGCUUCACUAUUGCAAAGAGAGAUCUUUGGUGGUGAGCUGUAGGGCUCUGUACCUGGCUCUGUACAUUCAACAUUUUAAUUAAUGACUUGGAUGGAGAUGUAGAAAAGUAUGCUCAUUAAACAUUAAGAGAACUGGAGCAGGAGGGAAAGUAUAUGUAUUGGAUGACAGAACCAAGAAUCCAAAAAGAAUUUAGUAGACUGAAAAGGCAGUUCAAAAACCACAAAAUUAAUUUGAUAAGAAUGUAUAACAUCUUGCAUAAUUUUCAUAAAAUUUAAAAAAUAUUAGCAAUUCUAAAGAAUGGAUAUAUGUUACAUAUGGCUGCCAAGAAGUUAAUGGAAACACAGGCUCCAAAAGGAGGUGAUUAUCCCACUCUUUCCUGAGUUUGUAGAACUACACCUCAAGUAUUGUGCUUAGUGCCAAAAAGUUAAUGGAAACACAGGCUCCAAAAGGAGGUGAUUAUCCCACUCUUUCCUGAGUUUGUAGAACUACACCUCAAGUAUUGUGCUUAGUUAG
Non-coding RNA from Delphinapterus leucas (beluga whale), 1851 nucleotides. The record is from RefSeq and is a predicted model, not a curated record. Lineage: Eukaryota; Metazoa; Chordata; Mammalia; Artiodactyla; Monodontidae.